RNAcentral lists this ribosomal RNA (301 nucleotides) under uncultured bacterium. RNAcentral describes it as "partial 16S ribosomal RNA". It matches the Rfam family "Bacterial small subunit ribosomal RNA", at positions 509 to 807 of the family's 1533-position model. The record is from RNAcentral.
CAGUCGCCGCGGGAAUACAAAGGGGGCUAGCGUUGUUCGGAUUUACUGGGCGUAAAGGGCGCGUAGGCGGACUGAUAAGUCAGGGGUGAAAUCCCAAGGCUCAACCUUGGAACUGCCUUUGAUACUGUUUGUCUUGAGUUCGAGAGAGGUAAGUGGAACUGCGAGUGUAGAGGUGAAAUUCGUAGAUAUUCGCAAGAACACCAGUGGCGAAGGCGGCUUACUGGCUCGAAACUGACGCUGAGGCGCGAAAGCGUGGGGAGCAAACAGGAUUAGAUACCCCAGUAGUCCCUGUCUCUUAUAC